This 403-nucleotide ribosomal RNA is filed under the name uncultured bacterium. RNAcentral's name for it is "partial 16S ribosomal RNA". It matches the Rfam family "Bacterial small subunit ribosomal RNA", at positions 28 to 526 of the family's 1533-position model. The record is from RNAcentral.
GACGAACGCUGGCGGCGUGCCUAAUACAUGCAAGUCGAACGCAGUGGGGACGGGUGAGUAACACGUGGGUAACCUCCCAUCAGAGGGGAUAACACUUGGAAACAGGUGCUAAACCGAUACUGAUGGAUGGACCCGCGGUGCAGUAGCUAGUUGGUGAGGUAACGGCUCACCAAGGCAACGAUGCAUAGGCGACCGGUGAGGUGGAUCGGCCACCACGGGCCUGAGACACGGCCCCGACUCCUACGGGAGGCAGCGGUAGGGAAUCUUCGGUAAUGGACGAAAGUUUGACCGAGAAACGCCGCGUGAGUGAAGAAGGUUUUCGGAUCGUAAAACUCUGUUGUUAGAGAAGCGGUAUCUAACCAGAAAGCCACGGCUAACUACGUGCCAGCAGCCGCGGUAAUUC